GGGGUUGUGGCUUAGUGGUAGAGCGCUCACCUAGCAUGUGUGAGGCCCUGGGUUCGAUCCUCAGCAUCACAU
Molecule: transfer RNA, 72 nt
Filed under: Ictidomys tridecemlineatus (thirteen-lined ground squirrel)
Lineage: Eukaryota; Metazoa; Chordata; Mammalia; Rodentia; Sciuridae
Description: Spermophilus tridecemlineatus (thirteen-lined ground squirrel) tRNA
Rfam family: tRNA
About the family: Transfer RNA (tRNA) molecules are approximately 80 nucleotides in length.
Source: Rfam by way of RNAcentral